AGAGUUUGAUCAUGGCUCAGAUUGAACGCUGGCGGCAGGCCUAACACAUGCAAGUCGAGCGGUAACAGGGGAAGCUUGCUUCUCGCUGACGAGCGGCGGACGGGUGAGUAAUGUAUGGGGAUCUGCCUGAUGGCGGGGGAUAACUACUGGAAACGGUAGCUAAUACCGCAUAAUGUCUGCGGACCAAAGCGGGGGACCUCCGGGCCUCGCGCCAUCAGAUGAACCCAUAUGGGAUUAGCUAGUAGGUAAGGUAACGGCUUACCUAGGCGACGAUCCCUAGCUGGUCUGAGAGGAUGAUCAGCCACACUGGGACUGAGACACGGCCCAGACUCCUACGGGAGGCAGCAGUGGGGAAUAUUGCACAAUGGGCGCAAGCCUGAUGCAGCCAUGCCGCGUGUAUGAAGAAGGCCCUAGGGUUGUAAAGUACUUUCAGUCGGGAGGAAGGCGUUGAUGCUAAUAUCAUCAACGAUUGACGUUACCGACAGAAGAAGCACCGGCUAACUCCGUGCCAGCCGCCGCGGUAAUUC
This 527-nucleotide ribosomal RNA is filed under the name uncultured bacterium. Its description in RNAcentral is "bacterial SSU rRNA". It matches the Rfam family "Bacterial small subunit ribosomal RNA", at positions 8 to 526 of the family's 1533-position model. The record is from RNAcentral.